UUUAACAUGAAUUGAGUUAUGUGUUUCUUGUUAAAUGGAUCAAAUUUCAACAAAGCCCGGGAAACAUCUUGAAAAUCACAUGAAUGCAAUUUCCAAAGAAAACAAUCCAAGAAUUACUGCCAAAAAGUUUUAUUUCCACUAGGAAGGAAAAGAAGAGUUUCAUUUUGCCCCCCACACAGACUGUAUGUUCAAUCUGUGGUCUGCAGUGGAAAAUUCUCCUGAUUUUGCUCAAUUCAGGGGAGGAGAGAAAUGAAGGAGGCUAUUGUUAUUUGAGUGAGUGAUAAAACUGUCUUUCUUUCUCUAGUAUUAAUAUGUUAUUAGCAUUUUCAAUUUGAUUCUACAAAUAUUGAGUUUUACUGGUGUGUGUGGUACAAUGGGAAGCAGGACAAAAAGCUUAACACGCGAUGACUGUCUCAUGGGCUUUACAAAUUAGACCUACAAGUAGGGCACUGCCAGCCCACACGGAGUCCUUGUGUAAAUUAGAAAAAGAUGACCCUUCCAGGCAGAUGCAGCCUUGUGGGUAACCAGUGAGCAACCAAGGGACAUUUGUGCAAAUUAGAAAAAGCACCUUCUUCCUCUGGUGGGCACAAUCUUGCACCAGAGUGAACAUCUUGAUUUUAUCCUCCCUCCCUGUUGACAAGGUGCUUUUAUGCAGGAUACAACUUGCCCAUGUGACUGCAACAGGACAUAUAAAGGGAUCAUCUGAGAAUUACUCAUGGUCAAAAUGGAAACAAUGCAACCACCAUUCUCAAACUUCAGUGAGUAGAAGAAUCAUGGCAGCUUGCUAAAAUGCCCGAGUCUCAUCUCAGAUAUUCUGAUUCAGGAUGACUGAGGUUACCACCUCAUUGGUUGCUGCAUAUCUGCAUAACCACACUGAAGCAUCCAGGCGCUUUCUGUGUGAAAGGCAGUUGAGAGAAGUUGGGGCUUGGCAUCUGAGCAGAACCUUGACUCUCUUCAAAAGGGGGCUGACACACUGGAGAAACCCUGGAGACCAACAGCUGGCUUGCACAAAACUCGGACCUCAUUGCUCUUCAAAUAUUUAUGAAUAAUUUUCUUCAACGUGUUUGCUAACUGUUAAGAAUAUUAGUUUUUGCUGGUCUUCUUACUCAUGGCCCAUCUGAAGUCCCCUGGCCUGACCCUCCUGUGAAGUCAUCCCGCUGAACGGGCGCCACCGGGUCGGGGCAUUGCCAUAGUGUCAGCCCACGGGGCCAUAAACACAGGCUUUGCUGGAUCCCUGCCCCUUCAACUGGGGGAGGCUGGGUGGUAAGAUGAGAAGGCGCCUUCCUUCCAGCCCAUUUUCUCCAAAGCAGCAAGUUUCGAGAACGUCACAUUUGAUACAUGGCAUAGAAGAGGAAUAUCCUCAAACACAACUUUCGGGUGAUUAUCUCCUAUCCUAAGUGCCAUCUGUAUGGUAUUAUGCUUAUGUGACUGCAUGAAUGUAUAUAUGGACACACACACAUAUACACAUUUUUAAGUUUUCAAGCAAAAUGAGUAUUAGUAAGUAUGAGAAACCUGGCCCAAGUCCCCAUGAGUCUCCUCCCUCUGACUUAUUCCAAGUGACUCCUGCUAAACUCUUUUCCCCCCAUCCCAGUGAGCUUCCCUAAAUGGCUUUCAUCAGUCAUGCCAAAUGGUACACUUGGCUUUGCACAGAGCACAAAUGAGGAUGCACGAAGCCCCUAAAGCUCAUUUUCCAUGCCCAUCUCAAACAGGAAGUGAUCCUAGAUCUCCAAGGGUAAGUGAGCAGUACACAAAUUCACUGUCCCUUUAGCCCUCCUAGGUGGAGGCCCUUUGAGAUUCUUAUGAUUUCUUAAUGGUCUAAUAUAAAGUGUAUCCAUGCACAAGAUACAUCGCCUGAUGUAAGAAUCCAUAACUGCGUCCUGUUAACAGUUCCUGCUGUUUGUGGAGUAUUGUCUUGACAUACUCGUUAAACCUCAAUAAAUAUGUUUUUAAUA
This 1952-nucleotide long non-coding RNA is filed under the name Homo sapiens (human). RNAcentral's name for it is "HSALNT0096759". Lineage: Eukaryota; Metazoa; Chordata; Mammalia; Primates; Hominidae. The record is from RNAcentral.